RNAcentral lists this ribosomal RNA (253 nucleotides) under uncultured bacterium. RNAcentral describes it as "partial 16S ribosomal RNA". It matches the Rfam family "Bacterial small subunit ribosomal RNA", at positions 524 to 776 of the family's 1533-position model. The record is from RNAcentral.
UACGUAGGGUGCGAGCGUUGUCCGGAAUUAUUGGGCGUAAAGAGCUUGUAGGCGGUUUGUCGCGUCUGCUGUGAAAAUCCGAGGCUCAACCUCGGACUUGCAGUGGGUACGGGCAGACUAGAGUGUGGUAGGGGAGACUGGAAUUCCUGGUGUAGCGGUGAAAUGCGCAGAUAUCAGGAGGAACACCGGUGGCGAAGGCGGGUCUCUGGGCCGUAACUGACGCUGAGGAGCGAAAGCGUGGGGAGCGAACAGG